Molecule: ribosomal RNA, 433 nt
Filed under: uncultured bacterium
Lineage: Bacteria
Description: partial 16S ribosomal RNA
Rfam family: Bacterial small subunit ribosomal RNA
Source: RNAcentral
AACGAACGCUGGCGGCAGGCCUAACACAUGCAAGUCGAGCGAGGACUUCGGUCCUAGCGGCGGACGGGGGGGUAACGCGGGGGAACGUGCCCUUUGCUUCGGAAUAGCCCUGGGAAACUGGGAGUAAUACCGGAGGAGCCCAUAGGGGGAAAGAGUUUUCGGCGCAGGAUCGGCCCGCGUUGGAUUCGGUAGUUGGGGGGGUAAUGGCCUACCAACCCGACGAUGCAUGGCUGGUGUGAGAGGAUGAUCCUCCACACUGGGACUGAGACACGGCCCAGACCCCGACGGGACGGAGCAGUGGGGAAUCUUAGACACUGGGGGAAACUCUGGUCUAGCCAUGCCGCGUGAGCGAUGAAGGGCUUAGGGUUGUAAAGCUCUUUCAGCUGGGAAGAUAAUGACGGUACCAGCAGAAGAAGCCCCGGCUAACUCCGUG